AACUACGGCUGGCGGCGUGCCUAACACAUGCAAGUCGUACGAGAAAGUUGGCUUCGGCCGAUGAGUAAAGUGGCGCACGGGUGAGUAAUGCGUGGAUAAUCUGCCCUUUAGUUGGGAAUAACGUACCGAAAGGUGCGCUAAUACCUGAUAAUACUGCAUAACUACUGUUGUGUAGUCAAAGAAGGCCUCUGUUUACAAGCUUUUGCUGAAGGAUGAGUCCGCGUACCAUUAGCUGGUUGGUGGGGUAAUGGCCUACCAAGGCUACGAUGGUUAGCUGGUCUGAGAGGAUGAUCAGCCACACUGGAACUGAGACACGGUCCAGACUCCUACGGGAGGCAGCAGUGAGGAAUCUUGCGCAAUGGGGGAAACCCUGACGCAGCAACGCCGCGUGAGUGAGGAAGGCCUUCGGGUCGUAAAGCUCUGUCAGGUGGGAAGAAAGGCCUGGAGAGGAAAGGUUUCAGGUUUGACGGUACCACCAGAGGAAGCACCGGCUAACUCCGUG
RNAcentral lists this ribosomal RNA (502 nucleotides) under uncultured bacterium. Its description in RNAcentral is "bacterial SSU rRNA". It matches the Rfam family "Bacterial small subunit ribosomal RNA", at positions 35 to 507 of the family's 1533-position model. The record is from RNAcentral.